Molecule: ribosomal RNA, 482 nt
Filed under: uncultured bacterium
Lineage: Bacteria
Description: partial 16S ribosomal RNA
Rfam family: Bacterial small subunit ribosomal RNA
Source: RNAcentral
AUUGAACGCUGGCGGCAGGCCUAACACAUGCAAGUCGAGCGGAUGAAGGGAGCUUGCUCCUGGAUUCAGCGGCGGACGGGUGAGUAAUGCCUAGGAAUCUGCCUGGUAGUGGGGGAUAACGUCCGGAAACGGGCGCUAAUACCGCAUACGUCCUGAGGGAGAAAGUGGGGGAUCUUCGGACCUCACGCUAUCAGAUGAGCCUAGGUCGGAUUAGCUAGUUGGUGGGGUAAAGGCCUACCAAGGCGACGAUCCGUAACUGGUCUGAGAGGAUGAUCAGUCACUGGAACUGAGACACGGUCCAGACUCCUACGGGAGGCAGCAGUGGGGAAUAUUGGACAAUGGGCGAAAGCCUGAUCCAGCCAUGCCGCGUGUGUGAAGAAGGUCUUCGGAUUGUAAAGCACUUUAAGUUGGGAGGAAGGGCAGUAAGUUAAUACCUUGCUGUUUUGACGUUACCAACAGAAUAAGCACCGGCUAACUUCGUG